Molecule: ribosomal RNA, 497 nt
Filed under: uncultured bacterium
Lineage: Bacteria
Description: partial 16S ribosomal RNA
Rfam family: Bacterial small subunit ribosomal RNA
Source: RNAcentral
GAUGAACGCUGGCGGCGUGCCUAAUACAUGCAAGUCGAGCGAACGGACGAUAAGCUUGCUUUUCUGAUGUUAGCGGCGGACGGGCGAGUAACACGUGGAUAACCUUCUUCUAAGACGGGGAUAACUUCGUGAAACCGUAGCUAAUACCGGCUAAUAUUUCGAACCGCAUGGUUCAAAAGUGAAAGACGGUCUUGCCGUCACUUAUAGAUGGAGCCGCGCUGCAUUAGCUAGUUGGUAAGGUAACGGCUUACCAAGGCAACGAUGCAUAGCCGACCUGAGAGGGAGAUCGGCCACACUGGAACUGAGGACCGGUCCCGACUCCUAACGGAAGCAGCAGUAGGGGAACAUCCGCAAAUGGCGGAAGCCCGACGGAAGAACGCCGCGGGAGUGGUGGAGGUCUUCGGGUCGUAAAACUCUGUUAUUAGGGAAAAACAUGUGUCUGAGUAACUGCGCACAUCUUUAACGUACCUAAAAAGAGAGGCACGGCUAACUACCUG